AUUACCCCUUGUACCUUUGCAUAAUGAAUUAACUAGUAUAAGACUUAACAAAAUGAAUUUUAGCUAAGCAGCCCGAAACCAGACGAGCUACUCACAAACAGUUUACCAAGAACUAACUCAUCUAUGUGGCAAAAUAGUGAGAAGAUUUGUAAGUAGAGGUGACAUGCCUAACGAGCCUGGUGAUAGCUGGUUGUCCAGAAAAUGAAUCUAAGUUCAGCUUUAAAGAUACCAAAAAUUCAAAUAAACCCCACUGUAGCUUUAAAAGUUAGUCUAAAAAGGUACAGCCUUUUAGAAACGGANACAACCUUGACUAGAGAGUAAAAUUUAACACUACCAUAGUAGGCCUAAAAGCAGCCAUCAAUUAAGAAAGCGUUA
Molecule: ribosomal RNA, 375 nt
Filed under: Bos taurus (domestic cattle)
Lineage: Eukaryota; Metazoa; Chordata; Mammalia; Artiodactyla; Bovidae
Description: similar to 16S ribosomal RNA
Rfam family: Bacterial large subunit ribosomal RNA (bases 55-375)
Source: RNAcentral